This 27-nucleotide non-coding RNA is filed under the name Mus musculus (house mouse). Lineage: Eukaryota; Metazoa; Chordata; Mammalia; Rodentia; Muridae. The record is from RNAcentral.
UGGCUAUAGAAUAUCCAGAAAGUGUGU